AAAAGCAAACCCUAAUUAACCAUCGCGAAAGAGAAAGGCAUAAAGUAAUAGAGACCAGCUCCAAUGUGAUUUGGGUGGGCGAUUCAAGAGGCUAAGAGUUUGAAUUGUUACUUGUCUCAACAACUUUUAGAUUUUUCUUUUGUGUAAUCACAAUAUGACCUUAUUGAGUAAUUGAACACAAUGGCAAGAAUCUUCUUUCUAGAUAUACGAUUCGGCAUUGACGAUUGAAGAGGCUAAGAGCUUGAAUGCAAUUCAGACCGCUCUUGAUCAUUUACAAUACCAGCUUGAGGUUUUGCAAGUAAGACUUUUUAUUUUUUUACCAUUUUUUGGUUUUUUAAGUGGGGGCUUUUGUAAUUUUUGCAUAAUGUUCGUCUGUUCUGGUUGUGUUUUGUUUUGUUUCAGAGAAAAUUGAGGGAGAAAGAUGAAAACUUUCAGUUUUAUCACAAGUAAAUUGGCUAAUUGUAUUGGUCAUCGAAAUAUUGCGAACGAGUUGUUCCAUGUACAUAAUUUAAUCAAAUUGUUAUCUGAUAACAAGAUGAUUAUUCAUGGCAAGUUCCUCUCCUUUAAAAUAGGUUAGGCAAAGUAAGUCAUCAUCAUAUGGAAGUUUGCAAUAGACUUUAAAAUGAGCCAUUCUUUGUUUAAUGAAAUAUUUAGUAUAGUAAAAUUUGCUAGAUGAAAAAAAUGAAAAAAAUUAAAAGGGAUAUUAUUGAUUUGCUAAAUUAAUUUAAUGACAUAAUUUCUGUAAAAUUCAAAGUUUGAACUCAGUCAUUUAUAAUUAUUUAUCUUGCUCUUCAUUUUCUUUAAUUCCUUUGUUCUUCAUUUGAGUUUCAUACGCCACAAUGCCUCAUUAGGUUGUUGAACAAGAUGAAUAAUUGGAUAACUAUGCAUGACAGGAUCAAAGAACUUCAAGAAAUUAAUUAUAAAGGCCUGCUAAUUAAAUGCUAGAGUUUUGCAUUGCAUUAGGUGCGUAUCACCAUUUACCAUUACUACUCUCUCCUCCUAAACCAGAGUUUCAUUGUGCCAGAUCAUUUGGUCUUUUCUAGAUUAUUGUGUAAUCACAAUAUGACCUUCAAAUUAAUUUUUUAUGUUAGGAAUUGAGGUUGAAGGCUUCUAGAAUUUUCUUAGAGGGGAUUACAGAUGAUAUGGUUAUCAAUCCUUGGAUUGAGGUGAUGGCUAUUGAAAGACAUGGAUUGAAAAAAAUUAUUUACAGAGCCGAUACAUAAAAAAUAAAAAAAUAAAUAAGACUCCGUUUCCUCAUAGUCACUCUCCUCAUUUGAUCUUUCCUUUUCCAAGUUUUGCUUUAACAAUUGCCAAUAAUGGAAGCAUUCUUUUGCUUUUGCUUUCUAAGCCGCUUAAGAACUUAAUAUUCCCUUUUGGGAAAUUUUUAAGUUGUUUAAAAAAGAAAAUUACAGAUUGGGUGUUUCUUGUGAUAGUACACGUGAUUUGGAUUUGUUCAAUAGACGUGUAAAAUUAUGCAAUCACUAGGGCAAGUCUAGGAUUUUGAUUGAAGUAAUUUUUAUGGAACAAUACUACAAUUUAAUUUUAUAACUUAAAAUGUAAAAGUCGAAGCUAUAUUGAUAUAACUUGUUACAUAUAUAAGGUUACAAUAUGAUGUUUUAAGUCUUUAAGAUCAUAAAUUUAUAUAUGUUUUUAGGCCUAUGUAAAAUAUUAUUGAGGAUCUUAAAUUUUAUGAAUUAAGUUGUAAAUAUAAUGCACCCCCACAUUUUAUAUGGUAGUAGUGAUAUACAUAAUUUGAAACCAUCGCGUGGCUAUAUAUUAGAUAGCUAGAAAAGCUAGACAGUAGCCAAGUAAAGACCUCAAGUUAAGGGAAGAGUCUAUGUACCCUUUAAAUCAUUAUUGGGACAUAUAAUAUAUAACAAAUCAACCGAUCAAUUGUUAUAUUAGACUUCUCAGGAUCUAACCGAUCUCUCUAAGCUUUCUUGAUAUUUUCUCUCACUUCCUUCUUUGCUGAAGCUUUUUCUUUCUUGUUGAAGCCUUGAAACCAUGGCCUAACUAUUAGAGAUAAGGCCAAAUUAUUUCAUGAGUCUCACAAGAAUAAUCUUCCAUCGAAGAAAGUGACAAACAAAGUUGACGCUUAAAAGAAUUUGAAGAAGAAAAUGUAGAGCCCGAAAGCCUACAGGCGUUAAGAGUAUGUUCUCUUUACAUCUCUUUCUUGCUUUUUUUUUUUUCCUAUUAUGUUUCAUGGUUUCUAUUAGUUGUUGCAAUUAUAAUUGCAAUUUUACAAGUAAUUAGAAGCAAUUUCCAAUCCCCAGUUACUUGGCCAAUUAAUUCAAUUAUUUUACCUGUAGUUGUGUCAGUUACAUAUAUGUUUGUGUAAUAAACAGUUUGUGUUGUGCAAUUUAAUAAUCAUUUCCAAUUCAAGUUGUUUUGGUCUCUUAUUUGUUCAGUAGGAACUUAAUUUUCUUCUGCAUUGUUGAGCAAGAUAAAAGUCAAAGAUGUACUAGAACAUUUUCUAAAGUUAGAGUUUUAUUUCAUUUGGCAUGUCAAUAAAUUAGAUGUGUAUAGUAAGCCUUUGAAAUUGGCCAUAUGUUUGGUGAAAUGACUUGCUGAGAUAGUGUAAUAGUAAGAGUCAUCUUUGUCUUAUUGUUUUAUUCUCUUUGGUUGGUUUGUAAUGAGGGUGGUUUCAUUUGUAUUGUUCAGACAACAGGUCUCUUGCAUGCUGAGCAAUUAAGGAUCUGACGGCCGAUGAUCAAUCACCUUGAUAUCUGCGCAUGCCGAUUAGUAGAUUCAGAUUUUGCAUACUGAUUUUGAUUAUGUUAUUCUUUCAGUGAAUGACUUAUUCUUUUCUCUUUUGUUCAAUAUGAUUUUGUUUCUAUAUUUUAAUAGAAAUUAUUAAAAUAUCUAUGUUUAGUUAGACCUUUUUUUUCG
Molecule: long non-coding RNA, 2889 nt
Filed under: Citrus maxima (pomelo)
Lineage: Eukaryota; Viridiplantae; Streptophyta; Magnoliopsida; Sapindales; Rutaceae
Description: long non-coding RNA (CMAX_LNC001060)
Source: RNAcentral